RNAcentral lists this ribosomal RNA (491 nucleotides) under uncultured bacterium. Its description in RNAcentral is "partial 16S ribosomal RNA". It matches the Rfam family "Bacterial small subunit ribosomal RNA", at positions 29 to 506 of the family's 1533-position model. The record is from RNAcentral.
AGUGAACGCUGGCGGUAGGCCUAACACAUGCAAGUCGAACGGCAGCACAGUAAGAGCUUGCUCUUACGGGUGGCGAGUGGCGGACGGGUGAGGAAUACAUCGGAAUCUACUUUUUCGUGGGGGAUAACGUAGGGAAACUUACGCUAAUACCGCAUACGACCUACGGGUGAAAGCAGGGGAUCUUCGGACCUUGCGCGAUUGAAUGAGCCGAUGUCGGAUUAGCUAGUUGGCGGGGUAAAGGCCAACCAAGGCGACGAUCCGUAGCUGGUCUGAGAGGAUGAUCAGCCACACUGGAACUGAGACACGGUCCAGACUCCUACGGGAGGCAGCAGUGGGGAAUAUUGGACAAUGGGCGCAAGCCUGAUCCAGCCAUACCGCGUGGGUGAAGAAGGCCUUCGGGUUGUAAAGCCCUUUUGUUGGGGAAGAAAAGCAGCAGGUUAAUACCCCGCUGUUCUGACGGUACCCAAAGAAUAAGCACCGGCUAACUUCGU